Molecule: transfer RNA, 60 nt
Filed under: Amphiascoides atopus
Lineage: Eukaryota; Metazoa; Arthropoda; Copepoda; Harpacticoida; Miraciidae
Description: tRNA-Leu
Source: RNAcentral
UCCUCACUGGCAGAUAAUGUGUUAAAAUUUAGAGUUUUAAAAUGAAUUUUUCGUAAAGAG